UAAAAACCCCGACUUCGGAAGGGGUGUAUUUAUUAGAUACAAAACCAAUGCCCUUCGGGGCUCUUUGGUGAUUCAUGAUAACUAUACGAGUCGCACGGCCUUGCGCCGGCGAUGGUUCAUUCAAAUUUCUUCCCUAUCAACUUUCGAUGUUUGGGUAUUGGCCAAACAUGGUUGCAACGGGUAACGGAGGGUUAGGGCUCGACCCCGGAGAAGGAGCCUGAGAAACGGCUACUACAUCCAAGGAAGGCUGCAGGCGCGCAAAUUACCCAAUCCCGACUCGGGGAGGUAGUGGCAAUAAAUACUGAUACAGGGCCCUUUCGGGCCUUGUAAUUGGAAUGAGUACAAUUUAAAUCCCUUAACGAGGAACAAUUGGAGGGCAAGUCUGGUGCCAGCAGCCGCGGUAAUUCCAGCUCCAAUAGCGUAUUUUAAAGUUGUUAUGGUUAAAAAGCUCAAAGUUGAAACAUGGGCAUGAAUGGCCAGUCCUAGACACAACGUGCACAAGACAGAACGGGUCUUAUUAAAUUUAUAUAAGAAGUAGAGUAAUAAAAAAGUAGUAAUCUGGAAAAAUUAAAAAAA
RNAcentral lists this ribosomal RNA (576 nucleotides) under uncultured eukaryote. RNAcentral's name for it is "bacterial SSU rRNA". It matches the Rfam family "Eukaryotic small subunit ribosomal RNA", at positions 174 to 765 of the family's 1831-position model. The record is from RNAcentral.